This 332-nucleotide ribosomal RNA is filed under the name uncultured Methylobacterium sp. RNAcentral describes it as "bacterial SSU rRNA". It matches the Rfam family "Bacterial small subunit ribosomal RNA", at positions 1 to 359 of the family's 1533-position model. Lineage: Bacteria; Pseudomonadati; Pseudomonadota; Alphaproteobacteria; Hyphomicrobiales; Methylobacteriaceae. The record is from RNAcentral.
UUCGCCCUUAGAGUUUGAUCCUGGCUCAGAGCGAACGCUGGCGGCAGGCUUAACACAUGCAAGUCGAGCGGGCCCUUCGGGGUCAGCGGCAGACGGGUGAGUAACGCGUGGGAACGUGCCCUUCGGUUCGGAAUAACCCUGGGAAACUAGGGCUAAUACCGGAUACGCCCCUUGGGGGAAAGGUUUACUGCCGAAGGAUCGGCCCGCGUCUGAUUAGCUAGUUGGUGAGGUGACGGCUCACCAAGGCGACGAUCAGUAGCUGGUCUGAGAGGAUGAUCAGCCACACUGGGACUGAGACACGGCCCAGACUCCUACGGGAGGCAGCAGAAGGG